This 253-nucleotide ribosomal RNA is filed under the name uncultured bacterium. RNAcentral's name for it is "partial 16S ribosomal RNA". It matches the Rfam family "Bacterial small subunit ribosomal RNA", at positions 524 to 776 of the family's 1533-position model. The record is from RNAcentral.
GACAGAGGGUGCAAACGUUGCUCGGAAUUACUGGGCGUAAAGGGCGCGUAGGCGGAUUUGGAAGUCGGGUGUGAAAUCCCUGGGCUCAACCUAGGAACUGCAUUCGAAACUCCAAGUCUAGAGUGACGGAGAGGAAAGCGGAAUUCCCGGUGUAGAGGUGAAAUUCGUAGAUAUCGGGAGGAACACCAGAGGCGAAGGCGGCUUUCUGGACGACAACUGACGCUGAGGCGCGAAAGCGUGGGGAGCAAACAGG